Molecule: unclassified non-coding RNA, 329 nt
Filed under: soil metagenome
Description: partial contains 5.8S ribosomal RNA, internal transcribed spacer 2, and large subunit ribosomal RNA
Rfam family: 5.8S ribosomal RNA (bases 1-120)
Source: RNAcentral
GAUGAAGAACGUAGCGAAAUUCGAUAAGUAGUGUGAAUUGCAGAAUUCAGUGAAUCAUCGAAUCUUUGAACGCACAUUGCGCCCCUUGGUAUCCCGAGGGGCAUGCCUGUUCGAGCGUCAUUUCACCACUCAAGCCUGGCUUGGUGUUGGGCGACGUCCUCUUUGGGGACGCGCCUCGAAACGCUCGGCGGCGUGGCACCGGCUUUAAGCGUAGCAGAAUCUUUCGCUUUGGAAGUCGGGGCCCCGUCUGCCGGAAGACCUGCUCGCAAGGUUGACCUCGGAUCAGGCAGGGAUACCCGCUGAACUUAAGCAUAUCAAUAAGCGGAGGA